GCCUUGCCACGCCCGCUCAGAAACUUAAAGGAAUUGACGGGGCCCGCACAAGCGGUGGAGUAUGUGGUUUAAUUCGAUGCAACGCGAAGAACCUUACCUGGUCUUGACAUCCCGGAGACCCUUAGGAAACUAGGGGGUGCUUCCAUCUGGAAGAAUCUGGAGACAGGUGCUGCAUGGCUGUCGUCAGCUCGUGUCGUGAGAUGUUGGGUUAAGUCCCGCAACGAGCGCAACCCUUGCCUUUAGUUGCCAGCAGUUCGGCUGGGCACUCUAAAGGGACUGCCGGUGUUAAACCGGAGGAAGGUGGGGAUGACGUCAAGUCCUCAUGGCCUUUAUGACCAGGGCUACACACGUACUACAAUGGCCGAUACAAAGGGCAGCGACACUGCGAGGUGAAGCCAAUCCCGUAAAAUCGGUCUCAGUCCGGAUUGGAGUCUGCAACUCGACUCCAUGAAGUUGGAAUCGCUAGUAAUCGUGGAUCAGCAUGCCACGGUGAAUACGUUCCCGGGCCUU
Molecule: ribosomal RNA, 510 nt
Filed under: uncultured Desulfobulbus sp.
Lineage: Bacteria; Pseudomonadati; Thermodesulfobacteriota; Desulfobulbia; Desulfobulbales; Desulfobulbaceae
Description: bacterial SSU rRNA
Rfam family: Bacterial small subunit ribosomal RNA
Source: RNAcentral